GACAUAUUUUAAGGGGAUCAAUUUCGGGUACAAAUAAGGCCUGUUUGGGAUACCCGUUUAGGUGAGGAAAUGUUUAUAAUUAUAAAUUAUUUUCUUUCCUUUAAUUCCCUUCCCAAACGCCGUUUCCCCCAAACCCGAUGCCGAUCCUUCCUCUCCUUCUUUCCCCGACCUCCCUUUCUUCUCUGAUCUCCCUCGCAGACUAGCGACAAUCGGCGAUCUCUCCUUCCCUUCUCGGUGUCGCCGGCGCAAAGCAACCACCGGAGCUUUAGGAGGGAGUGAGUUGCUGAUCCUCCAUUUUCUCCCUCUCGAUUUCUCUCCCACGGACGAUCCAACGCACCCGACGCCGACGAAGAGCGUCGUCCACCUGCGAACUAGGCUUCAAUGCGCCGCCUGAGGACCUCACCGGAAUCUUGAAGGUGCUGAUCCCCAAUCGCUUCCUCGUUGGUUUCUUGUGCGCGAUGGGCGGCGGUUCGGCAUCUAGGGCACGGCGUGAAGAGGUUGAUUCAUAUUUUUCCGGCCGAUCGAGCCUUUCUCUUCUCCUCUUCGUUCUGUUCACUGGAGGGUAUUGCCGAUCAUCAUCAGCCGAGGUGGAUCGCACGACAUCGACUGUAAAUGAUCAAUUAAGAAGGAGGCUUUGGAUUCACAUACUGGUGGAAUGCUCAUUUGUUGUUCGCUGAUCUUCUCCAAUUCUUGCGGCUGGUUGUUCAUUUUGAGGCGGAUGAAGAGGAAGAGGACUUGGAUUCGAGAUGUGCGUCUCGACGUGGGAUUAGUUUAUCACGAUCGACAAAUAAAG
This is a long non-coding RNA of Zingiber officinale, 793 nucleotides long. RefSeq lists it as uncharacterized. The record is from RefSeq and is a predicted model, not a curated record. The transcript has 3 exons. NCBI's taxonomy places the organism in Eukaryota, Viridiplantae, Streptophyta, Magnoliopsida, Zingiberales, Zingiberaceae.